RNAcentral lists this microRNA (20 nucleotides) under Ciona intestinalis (vase tunicate). RNAcentral's name for it is "cin-miR-29-5p". Its record names the gene cin-miR-29-5p. Lineage: Eukaryota; Metazoa; Chordata; Ascidiacea; Phlebobranchia; Cionidae. The record is from miRBase by way of RNAcentral.
ACCGUCUCCUUUUGGUGCAG